AUUUGACACAAAGUAAUUUUUUUAAUAUUUCAAAUAAUUUAAAGGGAGACACUGACUCUGGAGUGCACUGCAGUAUAUUUUCUGUUGCUCAGCUGCUGUAAAGAGAUUACAAAAUAAACUCCAUCUGCUCCAAGGGAUAGCUUUAAAGCAUUUUCAGAAGAAAUGAAAGGCUCUUGCUUUUUCCUGAUGGUGCUAGCAUAAAAAGUCAUUCCACGAUGCAUUCAUUACCUGCAUAUCAAUCACAUUGGGAAAAGAAUCCCAGAGAAAGAGAAAAAGAAAGAAGAAACUUCACAGUAAUUUCAAGAAAAUACUGAAAUCCAGAAGAACACAGAGGGAAGGUUAAAGGAAAAGAAGAAAGUGCCAAGCGUAAAGUAUGUUGAUUCACGUUGUGGAACAGCCUGAGAGCACCUCUUUCAAGGCAAAACAGAACUGGGAGAUGCACUCUCCAAGAGUUUGCCUACUGCACUUCUACCAUCAACGAAUGCUCAAUCCACAGGUUCUCUUUCAGCUUCUGAGAUAAACAGAGGGAGGACAGCAAGUGUGUCUGUGUGUGUGUACAGUUACAGUUCUCAGGAAAAAUGAGGGACUCAGAAAACUGAAGAGAGCACAGCAGAGCCAGGUCUGCAAUGACUUAAAAGCAAAACAUGAGCUUCAAGUUGUAGCAGCCUAUCAGAAAUAUUUGAAUGAGGUUUUUCUGAUACUCAGUGUUUCAGCCACAUCACAGUUAGUUAAAGCCUUCAUCAUUGCUUCAGAUUUGGGAAAACUUCUGUUACAUACGAGUGUAAAUGCUCUUUAGGAGGAUGUACUAGAUCACCCACUGGGAAACCGAUAAUAUGUGAUUUUGAAAGUGGGCAGAUCUCUUGGUGCUACUCAAUGUCAUCCUGUCAUCAUCCAGAGGAGAAAGAAGGCUGGGUGGUUGCCUGGCUUCAGCUCUGUGAUAUAACUCUUGGCAAGAAGGCACACAUCAGUGAAUCCUGUACCUUUUAGACCUCCACUCACCAUAACAGUAGCUUGACUUACCUCUUUUCCUCCUCUGUCUACUGUUGGAACCUGUAAUCUGAGGAAUUGCUUGGGGACAUGAGUUCUUUCUACAAUCCUGGCCAUCAGAAAGAGUUGGACAUUUGAACUGAAGACAGUGACAUCUUUGUAGAUGCCAAUAAAAAGAGCAGGAACAGGAGUCAUCAGAGAACUGAACAGCUGGCUUAAAAGAGCUGGGAUUGACUUUCUGGAACUCUGGAACCUCAUUCGGACAAACCUAGCUAUUGCUUUCAUCCCUUGAAGCUAAACUAAUCAUGUGUUGACAGAAGCUCCUUUUGCAGUAGAAGAAACAGCCAUGGUCUUUGUAAAGUUCAGCCAUAGAAGUAUGAAGAGGAAAAGAAAGAUAAAAAAGGUUUUGCAAAAUAUUUUCUAGCCAUUUCUAUACUUUAUGAAAACUUUGGACUUCUUGAAAACCAAAUAAAUGUCAAUAUAUU
Molecule: long non-coding RNA, 1472 nt
Organism: Columba livia (rock pigeon)
Lineage: Eukaryota; Metazoa; Chordata; Aves; Columbiformes; Columbidae
Exons: 10
Source: RefSeq, a predicted model, not a curated record